This 73-nucleotide transfer RNA is filed under the name Culex quinquefasciatus (southern house mosquito). Its description in RNAcentral is "tRNA-Glu". The record is from RNAcentral. Lineage: Eukaryota; Metazoa; Arthropoda; Insecta; Diptera; Culicidae.
GGAUAUCGGUGGUGUAGUGGUUAGCGUGGUUGCCUCUCACCGCAGUUGGCUUGGGAUCAAUCCCAGUCGACCA